GCAAGUCGAACGGUAACAGGAAUUAGCUUGCUAAUUUGCUGACGAGUGGCGCACGGGUGCGUAACGCGUAUACAAUCUACCUUUUGCUGAGGGAUAGCCCAGAGAAAUUUGGAUUAAUACCUCAUGGUAUUAUUGACAGGCAUCUGUUAAUAAUUAAAGGUUACGGCAAAAGAUGAGUAUGCGUCCCAUUAGCUAGUUGGCGAGGUAACGGCUCACCAAGGCAACGAUGGGUAGGGGUCCUGAGAGGGAGAUCCCCCACACUGGUACUGAGACACGGACCAGACUCCUACGGGAGGCAGCAGUGAGGAAUAUUGGACAAUGGGCGAGAGCCUGAUCCAGCCAUGCCGCGUGCAGGAAGACUGCCCUAUGGGUUGUAAACUGCUUUUAUACAGGAAGAAUAAGCCUUACGUGUAAGGUGAUGACGGUACUGUAAGAAUAAGGACCGGCUAACUCCGUGCCAGCAGCCGCGGUAAUACGGAGGGUCCGAGCGUUAUCCGGAAUUAUUGGGUUUAAAGGGUCCGUAGGCGGAUGAUUAAGUCAGGGGUGAAAGUUUGCAGCUCAACUGUAAAAUUGCCUUUGAUACUGGUUAUCUUGAGUUGUAUUGAAGUAGGCGGAAUAUGUAGUGUAGCGGUGAAAUGCAUAGAUAUUACAUAGAACACCAAUUGCGAAGGCAGCUUACUAAGUACUAACUGACGCUGAUGGACGAAAGCGUGGGUAGCGAACAGGAUUAGAUACCCUGGUAGUCCACGCCGUAAACGAUGGAUACUAGCUGUUCGGGGCCUUGAGCUCUGAGCGGCUAAGCGAAAGUGAUAAGUAUCCCACCUGGGGAGUACGUUCGCA
Molecule: ribosomal RNA, 840 nt
Filed under: uncultured marine bacterium
Lineage: Bacteria
Description: bacterial SSU rRNA
Rfam family: Bacterial small subunit ribosomal RNA
Source: RNAcentral